This 258-nucleotide unclassified non-coding RNA is filed under the name Hevea brasiliensis (rubber tree). The record is from RNAcentral. Lineage: Eukaryota; Viridiplantae; Streptophyta; Magnoliopsida; Malpighiales; Euphorbiaceae.
CUGAGAUGUGCCUGCUGGAUGUGGAAGCCGGCUUCGGUUCAAUCCAGCAGGGAAUAGUCUCAAUGUUUCCUUGUCUGGUUAUACCAGGUUCUUUACAUGUGAGUGUGACUCAUCACUUGUUGGUGCUUUCCUACUUGGAUGUGAAGCUCAUCUUGAGCCUUUUUUAAGCACAUUGGAGUGAGAGCUAAAGGGCUGCAAUAGAUUAUCUUGAGCCUUUUUAAGCACAUUGGUGCUUUCCACUCCUCGCAAAAGUUAAGG